UUGAUAAAAUGUCGGACUGUUCUCUUCCAAAAAGUUGUACUUUUGAACUUUUUUUUAUGAUAUGUAAAUAAACAAACAUUCGUAAAAUUAUAUUUUUGCUCGCCCUUAAAAUAACCCCAUAUUCUAAUCUCAUAUCGUCUUAUAACAUUACAGAAAGCUUAUGCAUAACGAUUGCGAACAACCUAAUCUGGAAGAGCUUCCAUUAUUACAUUGGUCUGUUCUUCAAAUAUAAAGGAAUGGUA
Molecule: non-coding RNA, 242 nt
Organism: Schizosaccharomyces pombe (fission yeast)
Lineage: Eukaryota; Fungi; Ascomycota; Schizosaccharomycetes; Schizosaccharomycetales; Schizosaccharomycetaceae
Source: the annotation of a GenBank genome assembly